CUCUUGAGUGAAUCCUGAGUACGACGGAGCACGUGAAAUUCCGUCGGAAUCUGGGAGGACCAUCUCCUAAGGCUAAAUACUCUCUAGUGACCGAUAGUGAACCAGUACCGUGAGGGAAAGGUGAAAAGCACCCCGGAAGGGGAGUGAAAUAGAACCUGAAACCGUGUGCUUACAAGUAGUCAGAGCCCGUUAAUGGGUGAUGGCGUGCCUUUUGUAGAAUGAACCGGCGAGUUACGAUUUGAUGCAAGGUUAAGCAGUAAAUGUGGAGCCGUAGCGAAAGCGAGUCUGAAUAGGGCGUUUAGUAUUUGGUCGUAGACCCGAAACCAGGUGAUCUACCCUUGGUCAGGUUGAAGUUCAGGUAACACUGAAUGGAGGACCGAACCGACUUACGUUGAAAAGUGAGCGGAUGAACUGAGGGUAGCGGAGAAAUUCCAAUCGAACCUGGAGAUAGCUGGUUCUCUCCGAAAUAGCUUUAGGGCUAGCCUCAAGUGAUGAUUAUU
RNAcentral lists this ribosomal RNA (500 nucleotides) under Staphylococcus aureus. Its description in RNAcentral is "partial 23S ribosomal RNA". It matches the Rfam family "Bacterial large subunit ribosomal RNA", at positions 394 to 897 of the family's 2925-position model. The record is from RNAcentral. Lineage: Bacteria; Bacillati; Bacillota; Bacilli; Caryophanales; Staphylococcaceae.